Molecule: unclassified non-coding RNA, 882 nt
Filed under: Hevea brasiliensis (rubber tree)
Lineage: Eukaryota; Viridiplantae; Streptophyta; Magnoliopsida; Malpighiales; Euphorbiaceae
Source: RNAcentral
UUAUAUAUGCACCUUAUAGUUAAAGAUUAUAUAAUUUAGAAAUAGCUAAAAAAUACAUUAUAUGAUAUAUUAUGUAUUAAUAGUCCAAUUCAAAAUUUAAAUGCUAAUUCAAGUAUGAUUGUUUAAGGAGAAUAAUUACAUAAAAUUGUUUUAAGAAUUGAAAACCGAACUAGAACCAUAUCGAACCAAAAUCGAAGAAUCGAGAAUCGUACUGAACCGAAACCGAAACAAUGAAGAAUCAACAAUUUGCUUGGUUGAAAUUGUACUAAAAUUUCGGUUCAGUUCCGGUUCUUAGGCAAAUCCUGAACCAUAUCGGAGCCGAACACCCCUAGCGAAGUUAAUAAUUUGCUUGGUUGCAUUCUUCAUCUUCCUUUCUGAAUGUUGACAUUUAUUCAUCCUAUCAGCUAAAGGGAGAAUCAACAAGCAAGCAAGUUUAGGUGCUUAUUUACUUAUGUUGUUUCCACAGCUAUGAUGAAUGAAUAUCCUAUUUUAAGUUUGUAGUUCUGAAACUUUUCUGCUUGGUCCUUUUAGAGUGAUGCAUUACAGCAUCAUUCUAAUGCUGCAUAUGCAGAAAAGGGAUGUGAGGAUUUCAAUUUUUGGCAUCGAGGCUUAUGUGUCCACUGUUUAAUAGAUUCAUGAUUGAUGCAUGUUCUCUGUCAUCCUUCGAUUUGUCUAGAGUUUAAGUUCUGAAUGCUUAUUUUUCAUCGAUGUUUAUGUCUUUGCCUUGUUGUUAUUGGCAUGUUUGCCUUUUUAGGGAUUAACAUUCUGAAAUCAACUUUCAAGGGAGGCUAAAUUUCUUGUUCUUUUAGUUAAUCCUUUUCCAUACUCUUGCAGCUAGACCAGGAUUUGAAAGGCCUGCAGGUAGUUCAUCACCACGCUCAU